This 1496-nucleotide ribosomal RNA is filed under the name uncultured bacterium. Its description in RNAcentral is "bacterial SSU rRNA". It matches the Rfam family "Bacterial small subunit ribosomal RNA". The record is from RNAcentral.
GACGAACGCUGGACGGCAGGCUUACUCAUGCGCGUCCCACCAGAACCCUUUGGCUUUGCCAAUGCAAGUACAUGUGGCGGACGGGUGCUUAUCGCGUAGAUAACCUGCCCUCACGCGCGGGACAAUCACGAGGUAAACCGUGGCUUAUACCAUCACGUCAUUCUGGAUCCCUCAUGGGAACCAGAUGAAAACUCUUCGGGCGCCUUUGGAUGGGUCAGCGUGUGUGUAUUAGCUUGUUGGUGAAUCUAACAGCUCUAGCCUGCGCAACUAUCCAUACCUGGUCUGACAGGACGAUCACCCACGCUGGGAGAGAGACACGGCCCAAACUCCUACCGGAGGCACCACUGGGGAAUCUUGCACAAUGGGGUAACCUCUGAUGCAGCCAUGCACUCGUGGAGGAAGACACGCCUAUGGCGGCGUAGCCUCAUUUUCUGAACCAUCACACCACUGUAGCUUCCGGGCGCGACGGUAUUUCACGAAUAAGCACCCGCUAGCUACGCGCCCUCUCCCGCGGUGAUACCGAGGGUGCAAGCGUUGUCCAGGAUCUUUGCGUGUCAACGGUGCGCACGCGGGGCACCAAGUCUUGAUGUGAAACCCCAUGGCUUCCCCUUGGAUGUGCAUUCGAAAUUGUUGCUCUUGAGUCGAGGACAGGCUGUCUGAAUUCAUGGUGUGCCGGUGAAAUGCGUAAAUAUCAAGAGGAACACCAUAAGCGAAAGCAGACAGCUGGACUGGUACUGACUCUCCUGCACGAACUCGUGUGGAGCAAACACGAUUACAUACCCUGGUACUCCACUCCCCACACGAUGACUGCUCGCCGUUGCCUCAUUACGGGGCAAUGGCUAAAUUAUCGCAUUCAUCAAUCCACCUGCGGAGUACCAUUGUCCGGAUGCAACUCCAUGGUAGAUGACUGGGCUCUCACAAGCGGUGGAGCAUGUCGGCUCAAUUCGAUGCAACGCGAAGAACGCUUAGCAUAGGCUCGAACGCUAGAGGACGGGUCAUGAAAGGGAGCUUCCCCUUAUGGGGGAUAUAGCGAGGUAGUGCAGGGCUGUCGUCAGUCUCGUGUUUUGAGAUGUGGGGUUAAGUCCCGCAAGGAGCUUAACCCCCGUUGGUAGUUACCAUAGGGUAAGCGAGGGGACUGUAGAGGAAUCGCCUGCGCAAGCAGUGAGGAAGGUGGGGAUGAGGUCAAGUUAUCAUGGUCGGUAGAUCCUAGGGUCGCACAAGUGUUACAAUGGCCGGUACAAGGAGCAGCCACCUAGCGAGAGGGAGAGAAUCUCGUGAAAACAGGUACCAGUUCGGAGGGGAGUCCGCAACUUGAUUCCAUGAAGCAGGAAUGGCUAGUAAUCGCGGAUCAGCAAUGACGCGGUGAACCCGUUCCCGGGCGCUGUACACACCGCCAUUCAAGCCAUAGAAGCCGAUAGCACACGAAGUCCGCGACUGAAAUCGAGCGAGGGGUUUGAUGGAGAGCGGCCGUGAGGUACGUUCAGUCCAUGGUGCGU